RNAcentral lists this long non-coding RNA (1149 nucleotides) under Oryzias sinensis (Chinese medaka). RNAcentral describes it as "lncRNA (ENSOSIG00000022056.1)". The record is from RNAcentral. Lineage: Eukaryota; Metazoa; Chordata; Actinopteri; Beloniformes; Adrianichthyidae.
GCAAUUCCAGAAAAGACGGACACGCCCACGGCCAGGUAGAGCAGCAGGAUGCCCACCUCCCGGUAGCUGUGCUGCAGGUACAACAAGCAGAGCCGUUAGCCAGACGCGAAGAACGGCCCAAACCUGAGAUCCAAAUAUUCAACCAAAGUGUCCCUCUGGGGGCAUUGAAACGGGAUAAAUGUCCACUGCUGGCCACGCCCACGCCAUAGGAGCAUCAGCUGAAACCUGCAGAGCGAUCACACCUGUGGAUCUUUAGUCAGUUUAACUCCUUUAGGUCACCACAGGUGGAGGUUCAAGUCCCCCGUUGAACCGAAACAGGAGCAUCUGUGAAGAAGCCGUGUGGAUCAGAGGAACACGUCUGACUGCUGGUUAGACUUUUCAUCUGCAGCUAAUGAACAGACGUGACUUCCUCUGCUUUUCUAGACGUCACAUCACAUCCAUCUGAUGACCACCUACAAACAUGUCAGGCAUGUGAGAAACACAACCGUCUGAUAACAGAAGAACCCGGGAAGUCAGCUAAUGAGGAAGGCGGCAUCUUCCCGCCGCCGCUGCACUAAUGAAGGCGUCUGAAGGGCGGGAAGCAUCACAGACGCUUUGUGAAAGUCCAAGAACCCAUGUUGCUGCUCGGGGAAACUCCACAUGAGGCCUGAGGCCAUCAAAGGAGGCGCUGACGGCCAAAACAACCCCACACAUGAAGCCGUUCUGCUGCUGGGGAGGGGGGCUGACCUGGAUGAGUCGGCCCAGGUUCCCCAGCUCGGACUCGGAGCCCAGAGUCACGUCGAACACCAGGGUGAUGUAGAUGGGAACCACGGACACCAAGUCGAUGAUGUUCAGCGGAUGGCGGAAAAACUUCCUCCUGUUCGGCGCCAGCAGCAGCCGCGUCCCCACCUCCAAGACACACAGACGCCGUUUUCACAGGCAGCCAUCUUUACCGCCGGUGGCGCCGGCCGCCGCCAUCCUCACCUCGAAGGAGAACCAGCAGAUGCAGAAGACCUCCAGGGCCUGCAAGGUCGGGUCUUCCAUCAACUUCCCGUCCGAGUCGAAGGUCUGAAAGGAACCAGAAACCAACCGGAUGAAACCGCCGCCGUCCUGCCGGCGCAGCAGAACCGCCUUGUUCCGGUCCAGGGACUUCAGGGAGUUCUCCUCUGA